AUCCAAGUCAUUUCUCCGACUCUGAAAAUUCCUUUCUGUUUAACUUCAGAGCUGUCGACCGCAAUUUGCAAGACAUGCAAAACAGCAGCACUUGUUUGCUGCAACAAAGGCAAACCCAGCAACGCAAGCGUCCCUCAACACCGUAAUAACGGGCUGCAUCCCACCACGAGAGACUGAGUCUUUGGGUUCAGAGUAGAGGCCAGACUGACAACACUGCAGCACCUGGAUAUGCAGACUGGAUUUUCACUGCCUUCAGAAAUCAGGCACUUUGGGCAGGCCCAUGAAGCAGCUAGAUUUCCCAGGAGGGCCGACUGCAGAGAUCCAUUAAUAAGAAACAUGAAAACCUGUAAUAAAAUUUGAAAAUCUCCUCCCAAAACUAAAGGAUUCCUGAUCAACACCGCAUCUGCAAGACAGAUUGUCCACUGCAGAGAAGUUACGCGCAAAGGUGAGCACUCCUUUUCCAGCAUGCUUUGCAGGAAGUUGGUAUUAAAGUGCUCGGCAAGCGAGCUGCAAGUGUUUGCUCCUGAAGCAACAAGCUGCUUCUGCAGCUCCCGGUGCUGGCGGGCUUUGUCCUCACUGUGCUUCGCAGAAUUGCCCUCGUGCUGCCAAGCCCAGGUGCUCAAAUAUCACGAGUCUGGUCCCACCUCUUGCCCCUGAAACACUGGUUUACAAAUAGAAGAUUUCUUAAAAUGACAAAUGUGGAAGAUGGUGGUUCUCCCUCCCCCCAAAUGCCCUUUUGCUGUGUGAGGCCUUUCAGGCUCCAGUUCUCUAGCUUUUCCCUGCAACUCACAAGACCAGAAACUUACUUUUUUAGCUAAAAGUGGAAUUUCCCAUCUAAUCAUUCGACACCAGCAACUGGAGCUUUGUGAAACGACGUCAGCUAUCUAGAGACUUGCAAUAGAAAUGUACCAGCUGACGAUGCUGAUUGCAGAGAAACUUCCUGGAGGACAAAGCACUCGGACUCCAGAGCUCUCUGCUCCUAUGGAGGAGCAAAGAGAAGGAUUUAACAAUUUAUUAAGGGCUGGAGCCUGACUUGAGAAGUUCAGGAAGGCAAUACCCCACCUCAUACACACCAAGUGCCCUCUGCUGAAGGGUCCUGAAGGCACGGCAUAACCACGGGUGCUUCCAGUGCUCCUUCAACCCCGCUUACAUCAGAAAGGAAAUGCAGAUCCCACCUAUGCUACUCCGUAGCAGACAGAUGCAGCAUAUACCCCUUUUCUCCCUGCACAGCAUCGACUGCUGCCAGCUACAGGAUGUCAGAUUUGAAGGACCAAUCUGUCUGAGACUGCACAACAAAAUCCUUCACUCUUACACCAAUUCCCUAGAGGCAUUUCUGCAGCUUAAAUGAGUGAAUAGAGUUCAUUUAUAAACAACUAUAAUACAGAAAUUACUUUGUUGAUGUUUUUCAUUUAUCUAAAAUGUGCCCAGCUACAAUGGGAGCUGCCUACACAAUUUUCCAUUGAAAAUUUCACAUGAGUGACUAUAAAUGAAGCAACACCCACUCACCACUCAUUUUAACUUGUGACAGAAACUGUCAUGCCUGUAUGAACACAUUUGCACCGCAGAUAUGUCACGCAGGUCUCCUUCCAUGUGUCU
This is a long non-coding RNA of Dromaius novaehollandiae (emu), 1596 nucleotides long. RefSeq lists it as uncharacterized. Lineage: Eukaryota; Metazoa; Chordata; Aves; Casuariiformes; Dromaiidae. The transcript has 4 exons. The record is from RefSeq and is a predicted model, not a curated record.